RNAcentral lists this transfer RNA (72 nucleotides) under Candidatus Bathyarchaeota archaeon. RNAcentral describes it as "tRNA-Arg". It matches the Rfam family "tRNA". From Rfam's summary of the family: Transfer RNA (tRNA) molecules are approximately 80 nucleotides in length. Lineage: Archaea; Thermoproteati; Candidatus Bathyarchaeota. The record is from RNAcentral.
GGCCUGAUAGUUAAACGGAUAUAACAAGGGUCUUCUAAACCCUAGUUCGAGGUUCGAUUCCUCGUCGGGCUA